UUACCUAGUAGUGCAACUGCUGAGUCUCAGGGUAAUUCUGUUUUUAAUUUUUUGAUCAACGUUAUUUUAAUUGCAGAGAUGUGAAGUGCCCCGUCCUAUCUGAGUUAGGAAGCUGAGACUCUCUACUCUGGACCGGCCCCACAAUCAGAACAGUUGGUGGACAAUGUGCAAGUUCAUCAGUGUUUGGAAAUUCAGGGACAUGAAUUCUCAGCACCCACAGAAGUGUCCACUGAAUACCAGCUGGUAGGGUCCCAUCAGAAAUGCCUUUGAUAUAAUUUCUAUUUCUGUGCAGAUUUGGAACUCAACCACACCUGUGUGGUUUCUCAGAGAAGGACACAAAUGGGUGGCGCCACUGUGGACACCCUGGGUCAUCCCGGGGAUGGAACAAGGGACUCAGGGGGAUCAGGUGAAUCCCAGGUGUUGGCAGGGCUUUUGCAGCCCUGCAUGAAGGUAGGAUCUCCAUAAAGGCUCUGACCUCUCUCACUGGCCCAGGCCACUGGUAUUAAACACAACAAAGCCCCGGUGUUUAAAUGUUCUGCAUAUUUUCCUUAUGCCAAAACUUACUCAGCUCCAGUACAAGUUGGGAGUGAGGCUGUAAGCAUGGGGAAAGAAAAGUCGAACACAGAACAUUCUGCCUACCCAUCACCUUUGAUCGUCAGGAAAGGGGCUCUACUUUUCUCUGUGAAAUGCACCUGAUAAUAUUCUUCUCUCCAUUCCACUUUUUGCACCACAUUCAAAGUCAUGUUCCGAAAAUUCUCAUUUACUUAAAACCCUAUAAUGGUCCCUAUAAUUCACUGAAUUGUGUUUCCUCAAAAUUAGGGGUUGGAACCCCCAACGUGACUGUAUUUGGAGAUGGAGCCUUUAAGGGGGGAACUGAGUUAGAAAGAGGUCAGGGGGGUGGGGCCAAAUCUGGUAGGACCACUGCCCUUAUAAGAUCAGGAAGAAGCACCAGGCAGUAAGCGUGCCUGGAGAAGAGGCCCCGUGGGGACCAGGGAGGAGGCGGCUCUCGGGAAGCCCAGGAGGUCUUCCUUGAUUUACAAUGGGGUUACGUCCUGGUAAAUCCACGGUAAGCUGAAAAUACGGGUUCUAAGGGAUGGAACAUCAAGAAAUGGUUUGAAAUGGCGAAUAUGAAGGUCGACGAGAAGCCCCUUUAAUCUUCAACAAACAACACAUGAAGUCGUUUAAAAGUGUUUACAUUGUCUACCUCCCCAGAGGACUGACUGGUACGAAAAGUAGAAGGGAAAUAAUUGAUGAGCUAUUGGAAAACAUUUAUCACAAAGGUGAGAAUUUUUGUCUGUAUAAUAAUCCAAAUUAGUCAAACCUGAACUAGAAUUUCCUCACUUGUAACAUGAACUUAGCAACACUGAUUCUUAAAUAUUACAUGAAUGAUGUAUAUAGAUGCUCUUAAAAUUUAGACACGAGGAUAACUAUUAAGCAGCUAUGUUAUACAAGUUAAAAUAUUACUGUCAGUGCUAUGACAAAGAGAAGCUGCCAAUAGUGAGGGGGGUCUGCUACUUUGGGUGUUCUCAGGUACUGAGAACUUGAUGCAAGAAUUUGAAUAUAGGUGGUUUGUUAAGUAAUUUCAGGCAGAUUUGAGUGAACAAGGGGGUUGAGACAGAGGAAUAAAAUAUGGUUUAAGAAUGUUUCAUAGUUCACAGUAUAUGGCCACAUCACAUUAGAAUUUCUGAGAAGUGUACAAAGCGACCACCAGAAUUGGGCUCUCAACAGAUGGACCCUGACGAACUUAUUUCUCCACUGGCUUCCAUCCUCCAUUGGUUGAGGAUUCCCUGGGAGGAAAACCUCCCUCACUCACCCCGCUUCCAGGCUAUACCUCUGCAAAAGGCUGGUGAGCCCCAAGGACUAUGUUAGGAUGUACAAAGAAUCAUUUGGAGCAGCUGCAGGUGAAUGUUGGUGGCUUUGAGCUCACAUGGAACUGCCCACCACAGUUGCCAGGGUCCUGGCGGAUUCCGGUGGGCAUUAGAGACAUCUGUCAUACUAAAGAUAGAACUGAGUUGCUGAAAAGGAAGCUAUUUCAAUGCUAAUCAUCAUUGUAAUGGUCAUGAGACACCUUAUAUUGACUUAUACAUAGACUUAAGGAAAAGGGAUAAACUCUAAAAGGUGCCUUGAGGGCACCAAAAACACUAACUAUAAUGUUACUCAUCACACAAUGGAAGAAUUAAGUUGACAAAUGUAUUUAUAGCUUGAUAUUUAAACAACAUUUAUAAAAAAGAAUUCCCAAUAUUAUGGUUUCCAUUUAGAAAAGCCAUCUGGCUUUAGCUAGUUGGCAUAACGGCUAAUAACUCCGGCAAAGAGCAGAGAACUCUCCAAUGGAGUUCCCAGCUGCCCGAGGGUCAGCUUAAGAGGCAGAGUGUGCAGCUCUCUAUGGUGAAGGCGUUAGUGAGUUGGCCGCUAAUGUACAAACGUGGCAUGUGCCUUUAGUUGUCUCUCCGUCCACCACCGUCAGUUUUCUCAGCAGGACAGAGUUUCAGUACAAGCAUUCCACUUGCCUGUAGCAACACUGCAUGAAAUAUUGAACCGCCAUUAGGUUGUGACUCUGCAGGGAAACGUUUGAUCUUUUUUUUUGUCAUGGUUAAAGAGUUAAUGUGUCACAACUACUUUAAUAAUGCAUUAUUGAGCGGUCCAUAAAAUAUGUAAUUAACAUUUUCAAUAUUUUAAUUUUUUUUAACAAACAGUACAGAGUAUGAAUAAAUUCUUAAGGGAUAAUAGACUUUAAAUGAAAAUUAAUCUUUGUAAAGGACUAUUCUAUUGAGUGUAUUAACAUUUUUUUUCUUAAAAUACUUUGGAACACAAUCAUGGCAGGAGCAUAAUUCAUUUGGCCACAGUUUUGACCUAGAGUAAGUGAGGAUAUUGUUUAAAAGCAUCUCUCUAGGAAAAAGGGGAUGUCUGGAAGUUGGUUGUCUUAAGAAGACAGAAGUGUUUGACGCUGAAACCCUGAAAGAAGAACUUGGUAUGUAAUUGGUGGGGAAUUGACACAGUUCUAAAGUGCACUAAGACUGCACUGACUUUUCUCUCUGUCCUUGCUUGGUCUUUGAGACUGGCCUGUUUCCUUCCAAAGUACUGCAGCCAAGAGUCAUGCCAGAGCAAGGAUGUAAUACGGAUUUGCUGAUGGCAACUUAAAUUCUGUUCUUUACAGAGGCACAGAAAGCCGCACUUUUCUCCACUUACAGGAUUUCAAUCACUUGUACACAAAUGGCUGGACUUGAAAUGUAUGAUCAAACACAUGAAUAAUCAUACAGAGCCCCAAGUGCUAAGCACCCAACUCUCUGUGCUGAAAGAUCUUUAUGCCAGCUUUCUGGGGAGGCUCACUAGGGGGAGUCGGCUUUGGGAAGAGAAACCAAACACUUGUGCAAUAGCGCCACCUUAUGGAGAACAAAAGAAUGAUUCUAAUAGUUCAAUAGACUGGUAUGCACAGUUGACUCUUGAACUGUGUGCAUGAACUAAAUGUAGGUUUUUUUUUUUUUAUGGAUGCAGUACAGUAAGUGUAUUUUCUCAACAUUUUCUUUUCUCUAGCUUACUUUAAGACAUAUAAUGACAUAACAUAUAAAAUGAAUUCAUUGUUUAAGUAGUUGGUAAGAUUUCCCCUGUCAAUAGUAGGCUAUUAAGUUUUGAAGCAGACUUUAAUGUUAUACAUAAAUUUUGAUUGUACAGGUCAGCAUCUCAACCCCCUGCUUUAGUCAAGAGUCAGCUGUAGAAUUCUAAGUAAAUGAAACCUUGUCUCAGGGGAAAAAAUUUGCUACUUCAAAGGUAGCAACAGUGGUCUAUCUCCUCAAAUGCUAUGACAACACAUGUCAGUAUGGUAUCACAAAGAGAAAAUGAUUUCUCCAGCAACCAAACUCAUAAAAAUGGAAUAUUGUGAUACAACUUGUAAAGAAUUCAAAAUAGCUCUUUAUGAAGAAAUUUCAGAAAGUCAAUUCAAUGAAUUCAUGAAUAAAAUUAAAUUCUGGAGCUGAAGAACUCAAAAAUAAUAUGAACAAUGAAUUAGAAAGCACUGAAAACAAGGUGGAUCAAAUGGAAGAGAGAAUACACAAUCUGGAAGACAGGAAUAUGGAAAUGGUCCAGGUGAUAGAGGAGAAAAAAGACAAAGAAUUUUUUUUAAUUGAAGAAACCCUAUAACAUUUAUCAAACUGACUUAACAGGUAAACCAGAAGGAGGAGAAAGAGAGAAAGGAGCAGACUGUAUUUAAAGAUAUAUUGCAUUAUUUUGGUGCCAAAAAAAAAGUAUAAUGAAACUGACAAAGGUCAAUGGUGAAGAAAGAAUUUUAAAGGCAACCAGGUGGGCAGGUGGGGGGAAGUAACCUACAGUGAUUUCUCAGGGAAUGGAACUGAUGGAAAACACCAUUUGCCUUCACCUCCUUCAGCCUGUCUGAUGUUGAAGGGAAGCAGUUCUAACACUAUCUACCUACUUCACCUGCCCCAGCUAGUGCCUCUCUGAAGUGGCUCUAGCCCCACCACACACAGUGGGCAGCGUCCGUUGGGACAAAUGUCCCUAGAAGGUGGCUGCCAUGCUCAGCACUGUCACCACACCAAAGGAAGCCUUGAACCAGGACACAGGGCCAGCCCAGCCCAUCAGCAUGCCUGCAGCAGUCCAGGGACAACAGCUCACACAGGGGCUACUCUGGAGCAUAUGGUUCUGAGGAGCAGCAGGGAUUGCACUACUGGGCCCCACAGGACACCUUGUACAUAAGGACACUACUUUCAAGACCGAGAGACCUAGCUGACCUGCCUAAUACAUAGAAACAAAUACAGAAAGACAAAAUGAAGAAUCAGAGGAAUAUGCUCCAACCGAAAGAACAGGACAAAAUUAGAGCUAAAUGAAAAGCGAUCUACCUAAGACUUCAAUAUAAUGCUCAUUCAUGAGAGAACUUCAAUAAGCAGACAGGAAAUACUUAAGAAUACAGUAACUAAAAUUAAAAAUCCACUAGAGGGAUUUAAGAGUAGAUUGGUGGAUGCAGAGGAACGGAUCAAAAUCCGGAAGGCAAGGGUAGUAGAAACUCAUCCAAGCUGAACUGCAAAAACACAGAAUUUUAAAAAAUGAAGCUAGAUUAAUGGACCUCUGAGACCAACAUCAAGCAUAUUAACACUCUCAUUAGAGGAGAGUAUUCUCCCCUGAGAGAGCAGACAGAAAGGGACAACUUCCCUAACCUAGUGGGAAAAAAGAGGUUCUGAGAAGCACACAGAGUCCCAAAAAGGAUAAACCCAAGGGAAUUCACACCAAGACAGAGUAAAUACAAUGUCAAAAAUUAAAAAGAAUCUUAAAAGCCAGGAAAAAGCAAUUAGUUAUAUAAAAAAACAAACAAACUUGACAGCCAAGUAGUGGCAUAGUAUUUGCUGAAACAAAAAGACACCAUCCUAUACCCAAAAAUACUGACCCCAUCAAGGAUAUUAUUCAGAAUUGAAGGAGAGUUUCCAAGACAAAAGUUAAAGAAUCUCAUCAGCACUAAGCUGGCCUUGUAAGAAAUGUUAAAAAGACUUCUCUUGUAGUCAUAACCUUUUCUAUUUAAAGAAUUAUUAAAGGAAAAAAAGUACACGGUAAGAGCAAACAGAGUAAAACAAGUAUGAAGGUUAAAAGACCAAUGAAAAGUACAGUUCAUCUACAAAAGAUACACAAAACUAAAAAUGUAAAAUAUGACAUAUGCAAAUGAGGGGUAAAAAUCCAGUGCUUUGUGUCUGAAAUUAGGCAACCAUGAACUUACUAUUGACUGCUAUAGGUAUAGCACGUUCUAGAUGAAACUCACAGUAACCACAAAUCAAAAAACUUGUAAUGCAUAAAGAACCAGAAAACAGUGAAGCACAUACCAAUUACCUAAAAUGCAAACGGUAUGAGGUUCUAAUCAAAAGAUAGGUGACUGGAUGAAUAAAAUAGCAAGCCUCAUCUAUAGAGUGCCUGUAGGAGACUACUUCCGACAUCAAGACACAGACUGAAGGGAGGAAAAGAGAAGUUUCAUGUAAACGAAAGAGGAAAAACUGGGGUAGCAAUCCUUAUUUCAGACAAAAUAGACAUUAAAACGGACUGUCACAAGAGACAAAAAAAAAACCACUACAUAAUGAUAAAGGGAUCAAUCCAACAAGAGGAUGUACUGAUUGCAAAUAUUUAUGCACCCAGCAUAGGGUUACCUAGAUUUAUAAAGCCAAUAUUAAAAAAGAGAAAUUGAAGGCAGUACAAUGAUAGUAUGGAACUUUACCACCCCACUUACAUUAAUAAAAUGGAUCAUCCAGACCAAGAAUCAAUAAAGAAUCCAUGGCUUUGAAUGACACAUUAGACCAAAUAUAUACAGAACAUUCUUUUCAAGUAUGCAUGGAACAUUUUCCAGAACAGAAAACAUGUUAUACCUAAAAUAAGUCUCAAUAAGUUUAAGAAGAUUGGAAUAACAACAAGCAUCUUAUUCAACAUAGUGGUAGAACAAGAAUGUACAGAAUUGGAAAAAAAAAAAAAUAUGGAGGCUAAACAACCAAAGAGGAAAUAAAACAAAUACAUGGACCAAAUGAAAACAAACAUUAUGGUUCAAAUCUUCAGGAUAUACCAGGAGCGGUUCUCAGAGAAAAGUUUAUAGUGCUAUAAGCCUACCUCAAUAAACAAGAAAAAUUGCAAUCUUUACACCUAAGGGAGGAAAAAAGUCCAAUGUUAGAAGAAAUACGAUAAUGAAGAUCACAGUGGGGAAAAAUGAAGGAGCUCAAAAAAAAAAAAAAAAAACAAAAGAUCAGUGGAACUAAGAACUGGCUUUGGAAAAGGUAAGCAAGCCUUUAGCCAGAUUCGCAAGGAAGAGAGGGUAGGACUCAAAAUCAUAAAUGAAAGGGGAUACAUGACAGUUGACACCUCAGAAAUACAGAGCAUCAUAAGAAAUUAUGUAAAAUGUGCCAACAAACUGAACAACCAUUCUCGGAAACAUACAAUCUUCCAAUAAUGGAUCCCAGAGAAAUAGAAAAUUUGUACAAAUUCCAACAAUGUUCACAACAGACGGCCUCACUGGCGAAUUUCAUUAAACUCUUAAAGAAGAGUUAAAGCCUAGCCUCAAACUGUGCAACACACACACAAAGAUUUACAGGUCAAUAUUCCUGAUAAACAUAGAUUUAAACAUCCUCAACAAAAAUACAUUAAAAGGAUCAUUCCACAAUGAUUAAUGAGGGAUUUAAUCCAGGGAUACGAGGGUGAUUGAGUAUUUACAAAUCAAAUUGAUGUACCAAAUUAAAAAUGGGAAAAAUCACAUGAUUAUCUUAAUGCAGAAAAAGCAUUUCCCAAAGCCCAACAUCUGUUUAAAAUUCUCUGAAGAUAGAGGAAAUAUAGAAUCAACACCACAUAUGACAGUCUCAGGCUAAAAACAUGCUCCAGGCAUACCAGGAACAAUGCAAGGAUGUCCAUUCUCACCAUUUGUAUUCAACAUGGUAGCAGGAGCCCUCCCCAGAGCAGAGACAAUAAAAAUAAAUAAAACUAUUGAAAUUGGUAAGGAAGAAGUAAAAUUUUCACAACUGAAAGAAAACCCUAAAGACUCCACACACACAAAGCUAAUAAAAUUAAUGAGUUCUUCAGAACUCAGAAAUCUGUUGCUUUGUUAUACGUCUUUAAUUCCAGUAUAGUUAACAGUGUAAUAUUAGUUUCAACCGUACCAAAUAAUGAUUCAGCACUUCUAUACAACACCCUGUGCUCAGCACCACCAGUGUAUUCCUAAAUCCUCAUUAUCAAUAACCCACCUCCACCCUCACUUCCCUUUGGGAACCAACCGUGUGUUCUCUACAAUGAAGAAUCU
Molecule: long non-coding RNA, 7762 nt
Organism: Felis catus (domestic cat)
Lineage: Eukaryota; Metazoa; Chordata; Mammalia; Carnivora; Felidae
Exons: 4
Source: RefSeq, a predicted model, not a curated record